This 491-nucleotide ribosomal RNA is filed under the name uncultured bacterium. RNAcentral describes it as "partial 16S ribosomal RNA". It matches the Rfam family "Bacterial small subunit ribosomal RNA", at positions 29 to 507 of the family's 1533-position model. The record is from RNAcentral.
GUGAACGCUGGCGGUAGGCCUAACACAUGCAAGUCGAACGGCAGCACAGUAAGAGCUUGCUCUUACGGGUGGCGAGUGGCGGACGGGUGAGGAAUACAUCGGAAUCUACUUUUUCGUGGGGGAUAACGUAGGGAAACUUACGCUAAUACCGCAUACGACCUACGGGUGAAAGCAGGGGAUCUUCGGACCUUGCGCGAUUGAAUGAGCCGAUGUCGGAUUAACUAGUUGGCGGGGUAAAGGCCCACCAAGGCGACGAUCCGUAGCUGGUCUGAGAGGAUGAUCAGCCACACUGGAACUGAGACACGGUCCAGACUCCUACGGGAGGCAGCAGUGGGGAAUAUUGGACAAUGGGCGCAAGCCUGAUCCAGCCAUACCGCGUGGGUGAAGAAGGCCUUCGGGUUGUAAAGCCCUUUUGUUGGGAAAGAAAAGCAGCAGGUUAAUACCCCGCUGUUCUGACGGUACCCAAAGAAUAAGCACCGGCUAACUUCGUG